CCGGGAACCGCGCCCGGUCGACUGGGGGUGGAAAAUAUCCCCGUCUGAACCACCGCGAACGCGAAGGGCGUUCGCGAAGGGCACGCGACGGCUGUGGAUACAACAUUCUUCUCUCCGGCGCCGAUCUACUACGGCGGCCGCUUCUCACCGAUUAUCCCUGCACCAGUUCGAGUUGGAGAAGACGAACUUCCACCGUCUUGGGACCCUAUAUCCUCUCCUUUAGUUAGCAAUGGAUGUAGCACUAAGAGAUCACCUUAGACAGAGGAGAGCACUAGUACAAAUAAGCUCAAAGCCUGCGGCACGUUCAACUUUUCACUGGCGGUUUCCGUUAUCAAACGUCAGUGAAAGAAACAG
This is a long non-coding RNA of Zea mays, 354 nucleotides long. RefSeq lists it as uncharacterized. The transcript is spliced from 3 exons. The record is from RefSeq and is a predicted model, not a curated record. NCBI's taxonomy places the organism in Eukaryota, Viridiplantae, Streptophyta, Magnoliopsida, Poales, Poaceae.